This 67-nucleotide transfer RNA is filed under the name Gymnomuraena zebra (zebra moray). RNAcentral describes it as "tRNA-Cys". It matches the Rfam family "tRNA". Rfam says of the family: Transfer RNA (tRNA) molecules are approximately 80 nucleotides in length. The record is from RNAcentral. Lineage: Eukaryota; Metazoa; Chordata; Actinopteri; Anguilliformes; Muraenidae.
AGUCCUGUAGUGUAGCAGCAUAUCAGAUUGCAAACCUGAGGGCGCAAGCUAGCGCUUGCCGGGACUU